AGUCUAUACCAUACAACCCUGAAUGUGACUGACCUUGUCUGAUCUCAGAAGCUAAGCAGGGUUGGGCCUGGUUAAUACUUGGAUGAGAGACUACCUGGGAAUACUAAGGUUUUGUAGGCUG
This 121-nucleotide ribosomal RNA is filed under the name Nannospalax galili (Upper Galilee mountains blind mole rat). The record is from RNAcentral. Lineage: Eukaryota; Metazoa; Chordata; Mammalia; Rodentia; Spalacidae.